Molecule: long non-coding RNA, 1367 nt
Organism: Canis lupus familiaris (dog)
Lineage: Eukaryota; Metazoa; Chordata; Mammalia; Carnivora; Canidae
Exons: 4
Source: RefSeq, a predicted model, not a curated record
CUCAGGACACGCAGUGAGUUUUCGGGGGGACGUGGGGCCAUGUCCAGGCUGACAAGAGCCCCCCGGCCUCCUGAGGACCUGCUGUGAGGCUUCCAGAGGAUGUGAGGCAUAGUCCACAGUGACAGGAGACCUGGCGUCCUCAGGACCCGCUGACUAUGACUCAGGAACACGUGGGGCCACGUGCACACUCACAGGAGCCCGGCUUCCUCAGGACCCCCUGGAGGACUCUGGAGGUUCCGUUGGGGGCCACGUCCACAUCAGAAGGGACUACUCAGAACCACAGGACUGUUGUGCCCAAGAUUGUGAAUCCGAGAAACCAACGAGGAGCCAACACUGAUGUAAACACAUGAGGGUUUAUUUACAAGCUGGAGCUUGUGUCCAAGUAUACCCCACACAGCGGAGCAUGGACUUGGACCCCGAGGGAGUGUGGAACUGGGAGGGACCGCAUGUGAGCUCAACUCGCAGAAGGAUGUUCCCCAAGGAGACAGCUUUCAACUACGUUCUCAGGCUCAUCUGUACCUGGUGACUCCAGUCCCCACCUGGGCCUCACCUGGAACUGGUGACUCUGGUCCUCUGCUUGGCCUUACCUGGACCUGGUGACUGUGCUCCCCACCUGUGCCUCACCUGGAUCUGGUGACUGUGUUCCCCACCUGGGCCUCACCCAGACCUGGUGAAUCUGUUUCCCACCUGGGCUCACCUGGACCUGGUGACUCUGGUCCCAUCCUGAGCCUCAUCUGGAUCUGGUUUCUGUUGGCCCCACAUGAGCCUCACCUGGAUAUGGUGGCUCUAGUUCCCACAUCAGGUUCACCUGGACAUGGUGACUGUGGUCCCCUUCUUAGCCUCACCUGAACCUGGUGACUCUGAUCACCAUCUGGGCCAUACCUUGACUUGGUCGCUCUGGUCCUCACCUGGGUGUCAUUGGGACCUGGUUAAUCUGUUCCACACCUGGGCCUCACCUGGACCAGGGGAUUCUGGUCCCCUCCUGGGCCUCACCUGGACCAGGUGACUCUGGUUUGCAAAUGGACCUCACCUGGAGCUGGUACCUGUGGUGUCCUUCUGGCCUCACCUGGACAUGGUGACUCUCAUCCCAUCUGGGCCUCACCUGGCCCUGGUGACACUGGUCCUCAGCUUGGCCUCACUUGGACCUGCUGAGUGUGGUUGCCACCUGGGUCUCACCCGGACCUGGCAACUCUGGUCCCCACCAGGGGCCUCACCCGGACCUGGUGAAUGUGGUCCUUACCUGUUCCUUACCCAGACCUGGUGACUCUGGUCACCACCUGGGCCUCACCUGGUCUUGGUGAAUCUGGUCCCCACCUGGGCUUCACCUGGACCUGGUGACUGUGGUCCCCACCUGGGCCGCAAAUGGA